AUUGAACGCUGGCGGCAGGCCUAACACAUGCAAGUCGAGUGGCAGCGGGAAAGUAGCUUGCUACUUUUGCCGGCGAGCGGCGGACGGGUGAGUAAUGCCUGGGAAAUUGCCCAGUCGGGGGGGAUAACAGUCGGAAACGACUGCUAAUACCGCAUACGCCCUACGGGGGAAAGCAGGGGACCUUCGGGCCUUGCGCGAUUGGAUAUGCCCAGGUGGGAUUAGCUAGUUGGUGAGGUAAUGGCUCACCAAGGCGACGAUCCCUAGCUGGUCUGAGAGGAUGAUCAGCCACACUGGAACUGAGACACGGUCCAGACUCCUACGGGAGGCAGCAGUGGGGAAUAUUGCACAAUGGGGGAAACCCUGAUGCAGCCAUGCCGCGUGUGUGAAGAAGGCCUUCGGGUUGUAAAGCACUUUCAGCGAGGAGGAAAGGUUGAUGCCUAAUACGUAUCAACUGUGACGUUACUCGCAGAAGAAGCACCGGCUAACUCCGUGCCAGCCGCCGCGGUAA
Molecule: ribosomal RNA, 508 nt
Filed under: uncultured bacterium
Lineage: Bacteria
Description: partial 16S ribosomal RNA
Rfam family: Bacterial small subunit ribosomal RNA
Source: RNAcentral